AAUCUAACUAAAGAGGUGAAAGACCUCUAUAAUAAAAGCUACAGAACACUAAAGAAAGAAAUUGAAGAAGAUCUUAGAAAAUGGAAAGACCUCCCAUUCUUGGGUGGGCAGCAUUAAUAUUGCCAAAUGGCCAUCCUGCCAAAAGCACUAUGCAGAUAUGAUGCAAUUUCUAGUGGAAUUCUGAUGUCAUUCUUCAUGGAAAUAAAAAAGCAGUCAUGAAAUUCAUUUGGAAAAAUAAGAGGCCCAGAAUAGCUAAAGAAAUCCUCAGUGAGAAAAGUGGAGCAGGAGGCAUCCACUUAAAUUAUACUACAGAGCUAUUGUAACAGAAAUGGCAUGCUAUUGGUAUAAAAAGACAUGAAGACUAAUGGAACAAAAUAGAAGACACCGAGACAAACACAUAAACGCAGGUAUCAUACUAGACAAAGGUGCCGUGAAAAUACAUUGGAGAAAAGAUCCCUCUUUAACAAAUGGUGCUGGGAAAACUGGAAAUCCAUAUGAAUGAAAUUGAACCCAUAUAUCUCACUUUGCACAAAACUCAAAGUGGGUCUAGGAUCUAGGCAUUAAACCAGAGACCCUGUGCCUACUAGAAGAAAAUAUAGGCCCUACUCUUCAUCAUAUUGGCUUAGGAACUGACUUUUUCAAUAAGACUCCUAAAGUGCAAGAAGUAAAAUCAAGACUCAAUAAAUAGGAUGGUAUCAAACUAAAAAGCUUCUUCACAGCAAAGGAAACAAUCAUGAACGUAAAGAGAAAGUCUACAGAAUGGGAGAAAAUCUUUGCUGCCUUCACCUCACAUAGAGCAUUAAUCUCCAAGAUAUAUAAAAAACUCAAAAAAUUUAAUACCAAAAAAAUCCAAAUAGCCCAAUCAAUAUAUAGGCAAAAGAAACUGAACAGACACUUCACAGAAGAGAUACAAAUGGUCAAGAAAUAUGUGAAAAAAAUUUCAAUAUCUCUAGCAAUUAGAGAAAUGCAAAUGGAAACUACACUGAGAUUUCAUCACACUCCAGUCAGAAUGGAAGUUAUCAAGAAUACAAGUAACAGGCCUGUGGUUGUGGCUCAGUGGUAGAGCGCUUGCCUGUCAUGUGUGAGGCACUGGGUUUGAUUCUCAGCAUCACAUACAAAUAAGAAAUUAAAAAUAAGGUUCUUCC
This 1145-nucleotide long non-coding RNA is filed under the name Marmota monax (woodchuck). The stretch from base 1043 to 1113 matches the Rfam family "tRNA". Lineage: Eukaryota; Metazoa; Chordata; Mammalia; Rodentia; Sciuridae. The record is from RNAcentral.